UACGUAGGUGGCGAGCGUUGUCCGGAUUUACUGGGCGUAAAGAGCGCGCAGGCGGUCGUGCAAGUCGCGUGUGAAAGCCCCCGGCUCAACUGGGGAGGGUCACGCGAUACUGCUCGACUCGAAGGCAGGAGAGGGAAGUGGAAUUCCCGGUGUAGUGGUGAAAUGCAUAGAUAUCGGGAGGAACACCAGUGGCGAAGGCGACUUCCUGGCCUGUUCUUGACGCUGAGGCGCGAAAGCUAGGGUAGCAAACGGG
RNAcentral lists this ribosomal RNA (253 nucleotides) under uncultured bacterium. Its description in RNAcentral is "partial 16S ribosomal RNA". It matches the Rfam family "Bacterial small subunit ribosomal RNA", at positions 524 to 776 of the family's 1533-position model. The record is from RNAcentral.